CAUAGCAUAGCAUAGUUUAAUUAUAUAGCACGUUUAAAAUACAGCAUGGGAGCUGCCCAAAGUGCUGCACAGGCUAAAACAAAACACAACCAUUACAAGGAGCUAAAACAAAGGAUAAAACUCUCAAUCAAAGGCAGAUAAAACAUGAUGAAUACUAAAAACACAUUAAAACAAUGAUACAAUGAAACACUAAAACAAGUCACUGUCUAAAAGCCAAAGUGUAAAAGUGGGUCUUUAAACGAGAUUUAAAAACCGCCAGAGAUGGAGCCUGCCGAACUCCAAUGGGCAAUGAGUUUCAUAGCUUUGGGGCAGCAUGCACAAAUGCUCGAUCCCCCCGCGAUUUAAGUCUCAUCCGCGGUGUGUACAGCAGCAAAAGGUCAGCCGACCUCAACGUGCGGGUGGGCACAUAUGGAGUGAGAAGGGCAGAGAGGUAGGGAGGUGCGAGAUCAUUGAGUGCUUUAAAAACAAAAGUCAGUAACUUAAACUACACUCUGAAAAUGACUGGGAGGCAGUGAAGAUGUUCCAGGACAGGGGUAAUGUGGCUACGUCAGUGUGUACCCAUCAAGAACCUGGCAGCAGCGUUCUGAACAACCUGCAGCCGAUUCAGGGCAGAGUCCGGAACACCACCGAGGAGGGCGUUUGCAUAGUACAGGCGAGAGGUAAUGAAGGCAUAAAUGACUGACUCCAAAUGCCUCAGUUUCAGGAUUCGUCGUAGGGCAUGCUGUGAUCUGUGGGGGAAACCGGAGUACCCGGAGGAAACCCACGCAUGCAUGGGGAGAACACGCAACUCCCUGCAGAAAGACCGCAGCAGUUUUGAACCGCCAACCUUCGUGCUGCGAGGCAACAGUGCCAACCACUGCGCCACCAUGCAUCUAAAUAGCAUCAAGCCAGACUACAGAGAUGAGUUUGUUAAUGAGUGAUCUGAGAUGUGAGCAGCCGCUUCACAUAAAGGUAGCUAAUUCACAGUGAUCGUCAUUGGCACCUGGUAUGUACAGACUAAGGCUUUUGAUUAUCAGACUGAAUCGUUGAAGCGGAUUUCCUUGCUUUUUAUUGGCAUUUGCUUUGAUGUGGUCAAAAGUGCUUUUGUAUAAAGUUCUCAUUGUUUGUAUUUGUCCUUGAAGCUGUGGUUGGCUUACAGCAUUCUUUAAAGAAUAAAGUCUGGGCCCAGCUGUAUUGAAUCAA
Non-coding RNA from Nothobranchius furzeri (turquoise killifish), 1182 nucleotides. Lineage: Eukaryota; Metazoa; Chordata; Actinopteri; Cyprinodontiformes; Nothobranchiidae. The record is from RefSeq and is a predicted model, not a curated record.